This 376-nucleotide ribosomal RNA is filed under the name uncultured bacterium. RNAcentral describes it as "bacterial SSU rRNA". It matches the Rfam family "Bacterial small subunit ribosomal RNA", at positions 524 to 898 of the family's 1533-position model. The record is from RNAcentral.
UACGGAGGGUGCGAGCGUUGCUCGGAAUCACUGGGCGUAAAGCGUACGCAGGCUGUCGUACAAGUCGGGUGUGAAAGCCCGGGGCUCAACCCCGGAACUGCGCCCGAGACUGUAUGACUUGAAUGCGGGAGAGGGAAGCGGAAUUCCUGGUGUAGAGGUGAAAUUCGUAGAUAUCAGGAGGAACACCAGUGGCGAAAGCGGCUUCCUGGCCCGACAUUGACGCUCAUGUACGAAAGCGCGGGGAGCAAACAGGAUUAGAUACCCUGGUAGUCCGCGCCGUAAACGAUGAGUGCUAGCUGCUGGGAAUGUUUACCGUCUCAGUGGCGAAGCUAACGCAUUAAGCACUCCGCCUGGGAAGUACGGCCGCAAGGCUAAA